GUGUUGUAUGAGAGAAAGUUAGCACACCUCUUGACAAGGAUGAAAGAGGCCCUCAAGCCUGACAACACACACAUAGUUAAGGCAUUGCCACAUACUUCGUGGCAUCUGACUAUCUUUAA
Molecule: non-coding RNA, 119 nt
Filed under: Macaca fascicularis (crab-eating macaque)
Lineage: Eukaryota; Metazoa; Chordata; Mammalia; Primates; Cercopithecidae
Source: RNAcentral